RNAcentral lists this ribosomal RNA (447 nucleotides) under Triticum aestivum (bread wheat). RNAcentral's name for it is "partial small subunit ribosomal RNA". Lineage: Eukaryota; Viridiplantae; Streptophyta; Magnoliopsida; Poales; Poaceae. The record is from RNAcentral.
AUGUGGGCUCCUCCACAGUGCAAUUUUUUCGCCUGGCUUGUACUUCAAGAUAGAAUCUGGACACCGGAUCACCUUGGUCGACGUGGGUGGCCCAACUGCAGGCCAUGCCCUCUUUGCACGCAAAGUCCAGAGACGGCAGCCCACUUACUUUUCCAAUGUCGUUUCACCCUUUGUGUGUGGAACGAUAUUCUUCACUGGCUUGGCAUGGAUCACAUUCAUACUACUACUUGGUCAGCGAGGGGCUCGGUGUGGGAAUGCUGGAAUGGAAAUGUCUAUCUUUGCUCCGAAUCCCCCAAGGCGCUUGCCUCACUCAUGAUGCUAAUCUCCUGGAAAAUUUGGACGGAGCGCAAUGCUAGAGUUUUCCGCAACACGGCCGCACCUACGACGGUCGUCAUUAGUAAGAUAAAAGAGGAGUUGUCGCUUUGGGUGGCGUUAGCGGGCGCCUAG